GAUCCUGGCUCAGAGUGAACGCUGGCGGCAGGCCUAACACAUGCAAGUCGAACGGCAGCACAGUGGAGCUUGCUCCAUGGGUGGCGAGUGGCGGACGGGUGAGGAAUACAUCGGAAUCUGCCCAGUCGUGGGGAUAACAUAGGGAAACUUAUGCUAAUACCGCAUACGACCUACGGGUGAAAGCGGGGGAUCGCAAGACCUCGCGCGAUUGGAUGAGCCGAUGUCCGAUUAGCUAGUUGGCGGGGUAAUGGCCCACCAAGGCGACGAUCGGUAGCUGGUCUGAGAGGAUGAUCAGCCACACUGGAACUGAGACACGGUCCAGACUCCUACGGGAGGCAGCAGUGGGGAAUAUUGGACAAUGGGCGCAAGCCUGAUCCAGCCCAUGCCGCGUGGGUGAAGAAGGCCUUCGGGUUGUAAAGCCCUUUUGUCCGGAAAGAAACGCCUCGGAUUAAUACUCUGGGGUAAUGACGGUACCGGAAGAAUAAGCACCGGCUAACUUCGUG
This 503-nucleotide ribosomal RNA is filed under the name uncultured bacterium. RNAcentral's name for it is "bacterial SSU rRNA". It matches the Rfam family "Bacterial small subunit ribosomal RNA", at positions 15 to 507 of the family's 1533-position model. The record is from RNAcentral.